UACGUAGGUGGCAAGCGUUGUCCGGAAUUAUUUGGGCGUAAAGCGCGCGCAGGUGGUUCCUUAAGUCUGAUGUGAAAGCCCCUGGCUCAACCGGGGAGGGUCAUUGGAAACUGGGAGACUUGAGUGCAGAAGAGGAGAGUGGAAUUCCAUGUGUAGCGGUGAAAUGCGUAGAUAUAUGGAGGAACACCAGUGGCGAAGGCGGCUCUCUGGUCUGUAACUGACGCUGAGGCUCGAAAGCGUGGGGAGCGAACAGG
This 254-nucleotide ribosomal RNA is filed under the name uncultured Bacilli bacterium. RNAcentral describes it as "partial 16S ribosomal RNA". It matches the Rfam family "Bacterial small subunit ribosomal RNA", at positions 524 to 776 of the family's 1533-position model. The record is from RNAcentral. Lineage: Bacteria; Bacillati; Bacillota; Bacilli.